Molecule: unclassified non-coding RNA, 242 nt
Filed under: uncultured fungus
Lineage: Eukaryota; Fungi
Description: sequence contains ITS2
Rfam family: 5.8S ribosomal RNA (bases 1-52)
Source: RNAcentral
AACGCACAUUGCGCCCCUUGGUAUUCCGAGGGGCAUGCCUGUUCGAGCGUCAUUUCAACCCUCAAGCAUAGCUUGGUCUUGGGCUUCGCCGCUAACCCGGCGGGUCUUAAAACCAGUGGCGGUGCCGUCGGGCCCUGAGCGUAGUAAAUCUCCUCGCUAUGGGGUCCCGGUGGACGCUGGCCAGCAACCCCCAAUUUUCUAUGGUUGACCUCGGAUCAGGUAGGGAUACCCGCUGAACUUAA